UAUCUCUCCGUACGGGGAAGGAUGAGAAGCUUCGACUAAGGUUCGAUUCGAGCGAAUGCGAGAGAACGUUGCCAACGGCAACGGCCCGAAGGGCGAAGCGCGCAGCGCUGAGUCAUCCUUCCCCCACCACCA
RNAcentral lists this small RNA (132 nucleotides) under Salmonella enterica subsp. enterica serovar Kentucky. RNAcentral's name for it is "RtT sRNA". It matches the Rfam family "RtT RNA". Rfam says of the family: This family represents a bacterial cis-regulatory element known as RtT RNA. The exact function of RtT is unknown although it is thought that it may be involved in changing the cellular response in relation to amino acid starvation. Lineage: Bacteria; Pseudomonadati; Pseudomonadota; Gammaproteobacteria; Enterobacterales; Enterobacteriaceae. The record is from RNAcentral.